AGUGAGUGGCGAACUGGUGAGUAACACGUGGGAAACCUGCCCAGAAGCGGGGGAUAACACCUGGAAACAGAUGCUAAUACCGCAUAACAACUUGGACCGCAUGGUCCGAGCUUGAAAGAUGGCUUCGGCUAUCACUUUUGGAUGGUCCCGCGGCGUAUUAGCUAGAUGGUGGGGUAACGGCUCACCAUGGCAAUGAUACGUAGCCGACCUGAGAGGGUAAUCGGCCACAUUGGGACUGAGACACGGCCCAAACUCCUACGGGAGGCAGCAGUAGGGAAUCUUCCACAAUGGACGAAAGUCUGAUGGAGCAACGCCGCGUGAGUGAAGAAGGGUUUCGGCUCGUAAAACUCUGUUGUUAAAGAAGAACAUAUCUGAGAGUAACUGUUCAGGUAUUGACGGUAUUUAACCAGAAAGCCACGGCUAACUACGUGCCAGCAGCCGCGGUAAUACGUAGGUGGCAAGCGUUGUCCGGAUUUAUUGGGCGUAAAGCGAGCGCAGGCGGUUUUUUAAGUCUGAUGUGAAAGCCUUCGGCUCAACCGAAGAAGUGCAUCGGAAACUGGGAAACUUGAGUGCAGAAGAGGACAGUG
This 587-nucleotide ribosomal RNA is filed under the name Lactiplantibacillus plantarum. Its description in RNAcentral is "bacterial SSU rRNA". It matches the Rfam family "Bacterial small subunit ribosomal RNA", at positions 90 to 663 of the family's 1533-position model. Lineage: Bacteria; Bacillati; Bacillota; Bacilli; Lactobacillales; Lactobacillaceae. The record is from RNAcentral.